GACGAACGCUGGCGGCGUGCUUAACACAUGCAAGUCGAACGGAAAGGCCUUGCUUUUGUGGGGUGCUCGAGUGUCGAACGGGUGAUUAACACGUGAUUAACCUGCCCUUGACUUUGGGAUAACUUCAGGAAACUGGGGCUAAUACCGGAUAGGUGCUCCUGCUUCAUGGUGGGGGUUGGAAAGUUUCGGCGGUUGGGGAUGGACUCGCGUCUUAUCAGCUUGCUGGUGGGGUAGUGGCUUACCAAGGCUUUGACGGGUAGCCGGACUGAGAGGGUGACAGGCCACAUUGGGACUGAGAUACGGCCCAGACUCCUACGGGAGGCAGAAGUGGGGAAUAGUGAACAAGGGGCGGAAGCCUGAUGCAGCAACGCCGCGUGCGGGAUGACGGCAUUGGGGUUGUAAACCGCUUUCGCCUGUGACGAAGCGUGAGUGACGGUAAUGGGUAAAGAAGCACCGGCUAACUACGUG
This 468-nucleotide ribosomal RNA is filed under the name uncultured bacterium. RNAcentral describes it as "partial 16S ribosomal RNA". It matches the Rfam family "Bacterial small subunit ribosomal RNA", at positions 28 to 507 of the family's 1533-position model. The record is from RNAcentral.